This 266-nucleotide ribosomal RNA is filed under the name uncultured bacterium. Its description in RNAcentral is "partial 16S ribosomal RNA". It matches the Rfam family "Bacterial small subunit ribosomal RNA", at positions 92 to 354 of the family's 1533-position model. The record is from RNAcentral.
CGACCGGCGCACGGGUGAGUAACACGUAUGCAACCUGGCCGUCACAGGUGGAUAACCGGAAGAAAUUCCGACUAAUACAGCAUAACACUCCUGAGGGACAUCCCUUGGGAGUCAAAGGAGGCAACUCCGGUGACGGAUGGGCAUGCGGCGCAUUAGGCAGUAGGCGGGGUAACGGCCCACCUAACCGACGAUGCGUAGGGGUUCUGAGAGGAAGGUCCCCCACACUGGUACUGAGACACGGACCAGACUCCUACGGAAGGCAGCAG